RNAcentral lists this ribosomal RNA (255 nucleotides) under uncultured bacterium. Its description in RNAcentral is "partial 16S ribosomal RNA". It matches the Rfam family "Bacterial small subunit ribosomal RNA", at positions 524 to 776 of the family's 1533-position model. The record is from RNAcentral.
UACGUAGGGGGCAAGCGUUGUCCGGAUUUAUUGGGCGUAAAGAGCGUGUAGGCGGCCUGAUAGGUCGGUUGUGAAAACUGGAGGCUUAACCUUCAGACGUCGGCCGAAACCAUCUGGCUAGAGUCCGGGAAGAGGAGAGUGGAAUUCCUGGUGUAGCGGUGAAAUGCGCAGAUAUCAGGAAGAACACCCGUGGCUGAAGGCGGCUCUCUGGAACGGUACUGACGCUGAGACGCGAAAGCGUGGGGAGCGAACAGG